GAUGAACGCUGGCGGCGUGCCUAAUACAUGCAAGUCGAGCGAACAGACGAGGAGCUUGCUCCUCUGACGUUAGCGGCGGACGGGUGAGUAACACGUGGAUAACCUACCUAUAAGACUGGGAUAACUUCGGGAAACCGGAGCUAAUACCGGAUAAUAUAUUGAACCGCAUGGUUCAAUAGUGAAAGACGGUUUUGCUGUCACUUAUAGAUGGAUCCGCGCCGCAUUAGCUAGUUGGUAAGGUAACGGCUUACCAAGGCAACGACGCGUAGCCGACCUGAGAGGGUGAUCGGCCACACUGGAACUGAGACACGGUCCAGACUCCUACGGGAGGCAGCAGUAGGGAAUCUUCCGCAAUGGGCGAAAGCCUGACGGAGCAACGCCGCGUGAGUGAUGAAGGUCUUCGGAUCGUAAAACUCUGUUAUUAGGGAAGAACAAAUGUGUAAGUAACUAUGCACGUCUUGACGGUACCUAAUCAGAAAGCCACGGCUAACUACGU
RNAcentral lists this ribosomal RNA (496 nucleotides) under uncultured bacterium. Its description in RNAcentral is "partial 16S ribosomal RNA". It matches the Rfam family "Bacterial small subunit ribosomal RNA", at positions 28 to 506 of the family's 1533-position model. The record is from RNAcentral.